AGAUGUCAUGAAUAUUCUUAAAGUUGAAAUUCUAAGAACCAUCAGGUGUAUCGCCAAGGAGACUGGUAGACGACUUGGUAAGGGACAAACAUUUUCCCUUCUUCUUUGCUUGGUGUGCACAAGGAUUUAUCUAUAGCAACUUACUGUAUUUAAGAGUGCACAGAGAAAGCUAUGUGUUUGACAAAGUUUUCCUAGAUUACGAGUGAAGAACCAAUACGAGAAUUUUCCGGUAAGCGGCGGCAACUCUAUUUCGCUUUUGGUUAUGAGCUUGAACGACGAAGAUGACGCCUUCAAAAUAUUUAAAUAAUUAGUUUUUAGGUCUUAACCUCUUAUGGUCUUUCAUUUAACUAAAAGCAAAUACACCAUAUAACUAUCUAUCCAUCUGUAUAUAAAAUAUUAAAUUUAAUAUUAAAGGAUUGCACAAGACACUAUAAUCAUCGGUGGGCAUAAUUGAUUUUUG
RNAcentral lists this long non-coding RNA (460 nucleotides) under Helianthus annuus (common sunflower). Lineage: Eukaryota; Viridiplantae; Streptophyta; Magnoliopsida; Asterales; Asteraceae. The record is from RNAcentral.